Molecule: small nucleolar RNA, 224 nt
Organism: Lathyrus oleraceus (garden pea)
Lineage: Eukaryota; Viridiplantae; Streptophyta; Magnoliopsida; Fabales; Fabaceae
Product: small nucleolar RNA U3
Exons: 1
Source: RefSeq, a predicted model, not a curated record
ACGACCUUACUUGAACAGGAUCUGUUCUAUAGGCUCGUACUACUGUGUCCUUGAUUUCUAAGGAGACAGGAACUUAAGUCUGGUGGGUGAAUCACGACCGUGAGAUCAGAGCGUGAUUUAACGGCCAGGAUGAAUCGCAUGUUGUGUGGUAUCAACUCAGCUGUAGAUGAUCGUUCCUAGUUGGUUUCACUCACUAGGGUGAUCGAACGGUAUUCUGACAGACU